UUGCUGUAAUCGUUUGCUACUUGUGAUCCCAUUUGAGAUAUUUAAUGCUGAUCUGUGCUUUGCCUUGGCUUUCCGCUCUGUGUUUUCCUGUCUUGCUUUUAUGUUUUUGUUGUCCUGCAAUCCCUCAUUUCUUCGUUUGCUUUGUGUGUUUUUUUUCUCACUCAUGCUUGUUGUUGUCUGCACUUGGUUUUGAUUGCAAAAAAAAAAAAAAAACAGAACAAAACACACAAAAAAACAAAACAAAACCCAAACUGUGGGGCCCAAAAAUCUGCGUGGCCUUGGUGACCUGCACUCUGCGCCCGCCCCCGCUUGGCUGCUGUGGUUGCGGCUUCGCUGCUGGGCUUGGGCUGUGCUGUGGGGGAAGCGCUCACCCCAGCACCGGCUUCUUGCCCGCAGGUUUCAUUUCUGUGAGACGUGUUUCAGUGCAAUCCAAGGGGAGAGCGUUUCUUUGGGGGAUGACCCUUCCCAGCCUCAAACUACGAUAAAUAAAGAACAAUUUUCCAAAAGAAAAAAUGACACACUGGAUCCUGAACUGUAAGUGGUUUCAGAAUCUCCUUGAAUGUUCAGUGAACUUUAAUUUUCCUUCUUCCGUCCCUUACUGGUUUGUGUGGUUAUCUGUAUUCUUGGGCUAACUCUACAUGGUCCUAAUAUAGCUCAGGGAAAUGUGGAAAACAUUAAGUGUUAGGGUUGUUAGCAUACUUACAACUAGUAUAUAUUUCAUUGAAUCUACCUAAUACUUUGAUGUUUCGUACAUAUAUAAAAAACCCAAGUGGAACACCACGCUACCUGUCCUCAGUCUGUAUGUUCCAUCUUGUCGUCCUCUGCGUUUCAUGCAGGUGAUCGCUGCUCAUAGAGCAGGUGGGGCGUCCAUAUCCCCCCCUUGUCAUGAGGCCUUUAAGACUAAGGGGCGCUGACCUGCGCCACUCCUCCAGUGUCCCUAGAGAUGGGGGGCUGGCAGACGCACUUGGAAGCGGCAGAGGUCGUGAGCUUUGCCUUCUCGCUACCUUUACACUGUCACAGUUAAAAUGACUGCUUUUGACAUUGCUCUACCUGUAACACUAAAGAGCUUUUAAAAACAAAAGAUAUUUUUCCAAUCCCUUGCGAGUGACUUGGCUCCAUCUUUGUAAGAAAUCAAGGGGCAUAUGCUAAACUUUGAAUUGAUUAAAGUUUUGGAAUUAAUCUUGGAUUUGGUUCUGCAUUUCCAGGUUUGUUGAAUGUAAAGAGUGUGGCAGGAAGAUGCAUCAGAUUUGUGUACUUCAUCAUGAGGUCAUCUGGCCCUCUGGGUGAGGAAUAUACCAAUAUUUUCUCUAGGAUUUUAUCACAGAGUUUUUACAGAUUGCUCUGGAGAUUGGGAAAAGUUCAUUAAAAUCCAAUUUUAAAACAUGAAAUAACCUAGAAUUCAAAAAUAAAAAUAGAGGGAAGUGGACUUGGCCCAGAGGAUAGAGCGUCCGUCUACCACAUGGGAGGUCUGUGGUUCAAACCCCGGGCCUCCUUGACCCGUGUGGAGCUGGCCCAUGCGCAGUGCUGAUGUGCACAAGGAAUGCCGUGCCACGCAGGGGUGUCCCCCACAUAGGGGAGCCCCAUGCGCAAGGAGUGCGCCCCGUAAGGAGAGCCGCCCAGCGCGAAAGAAAGUGCAGGCUGUCCAGGAAUGGUGCUGCACACAUGGAGAGCUGACACAAGAUGAUGCAACAUCAAAGAGAUACGGAUUCCCGUGCAAAUGGACACAGAGAACAGACAACUGGGGCAGGGGAAGGGAUCUUUAAAAAAAAAAACAACAAAUAAAAAUAGACCUCUCUCCAGGAUUGAACCCCAUAUGUUGGAGGCAGGUGCUCAACCACCGAGCUGUACCUGCUCCCCUACCCCUUUCUCUUAUUGUUUUAACCUGUACAUGUCUUGUAUUAUGCUUUUCCCCCCACUUAAUGGCAUAUCAUUUUGGCUUUUUCCACAAGUUUUCUUAGUUUUGAAUGAAUAUAUGACUGCAUGGACAUGUAAUUAUAAACAGACAUUUUGAUGUUUUUGUGGGUUUUUUUCCUAAUUUUACAGUUUUACUAUAAAAGUGAAAUGCUUUUGAAAGAUUUAACA
This is a long non-coding RNA of Dasypus novemcinctus (nine-banded armadillo), 2082 nucleotides long. The record is from Ensembl. Lineage: Eukaryota; Metazoa; Chordata; Mammalia; Cingulata; Dasypodidae.